RNAcentral lists this ribosomal RNA (468 nucleotides) under uncultured bacterium. RNAcentral's name for it is "partial 16S ribosomal RNA". It matches the Rfam family "Bacterial small subunit ribosomal RNA", at positions 28 to 507 of the family's 1533-position model. The record is from RNAcentral.
GACGAACGCUGGCGGCGUGCUUAACACAUGCAAGUCGAACGGAAAGGCCCUGCUUUUGUGGGGUGCUCGAGUGGCGAACGGGUGAGUAACACGUGAGUAACCUGCCCUUGACUUUGGGAUAACUUCAGGAAACUGGGGCUAAUACCGGAUAGGAGCUCCUGCUGCAUGGUGGGGGUUGGAAAGUUUCGGCGGUUGGGGAUGGACUCGCGGCUUAUCAGCUUGUUGGUGGGGUAGUGGCUUACCAAGGCUUUGACGGGUAGCCGGCCUGAGAGGGUGACCGGCCACAAUGGGACUGAGAUACGGCCCAGACGCCUACGGGAGGCAGCAGUGGGGAAUAUUGCAGAAUGGGCGGAAGCCCGAUGCAGCAACGCCGCGUGCGGGAUGACGGCCUUCGGGUGGUAAACCGCUUUCGCCUGUGACGAAGCGUGAGUGACGGUAAUGGGUAAAGAAGCACCGGCUAACUACGUG